This 203-nucleotide ribosomal RNA is filed under the name Vibrio parahaemolyticus IDH02640. RNAcentral describes it as "partial 23S ribosomal RNA". The record is from RNAcentral. Lineage: Bacteria; Pseudomonadati; Pseudomonadota; Gammaproteobacteria; Vibrionales; Vibrionaceae.
GCAAGCAAAUUGUUCCACUUAGUGUUAUUCAUAACACCAAAAAGACCAUUACUAUCAAUUAGUUUAAUGAUAUUUGACUUUAAAUCUAAACGCAUAAAUUCCCAAUACACAUAACGCCGCGUUAAGUGGUGAACAACGCUAGCAACUAAACCUAAACCAUUGCACCGUAAACACUAAAUUCAACUUGAGCUGAAAUCGCCAAG